AGAGUUUGAUCAUGGCUCAGGACGAACGCUGGCGGCGUGCUUAACACAUGCAAGUCGAACGGUGAACCGGGCUUCGGCCCGGGGAUCAGUGGCGAACGGGUGCGUAACACGUGGGCAACCUGCCCCAGACACUGGGAUAACUCCGGGAAACCGGGGCUAAUACCGGAUACUCCGGCUGAACCUCAUGGUUCGAUCGGGAAAGCUCCGACGGUCUGGGAUGGGCCCGCGGCCUAUCAGCUUGUUGGCGAGGUAACGGCUCACCAAGGCGACGACGGGUAGCUGGUCUGAGAGGACGACCAGCCACACUGGAACUGAGAUACGGUCCAGACUCCUACGGGAGGCAGCAGUGGGGAAUCUUGCACAAUGGGCGAAAGCCUGAUGCAGCGACGCCGCGUGGGGGACGAAUGCCUUCGGGUUGUAAACCCCUUUCGGCAGGGAAGAAGCGCAAGUGACGGUACCUGCAGAAGAAGUCCCGGCUAACUACGUGCCAGCCGCCGCGGUAAUAC
This 506-nucleotide ribosomal RNA is filed under the name uncultured bacterium. RNAcentral's name for it is "bacterial SSU rRNA". It matches the Rfam family "Bacterial small subunit ribosomal RNA", at positions 8 to 526 of the family's 1533-position model. The record is from RNAcentral.